GACGAACGCUGGCGGCGUGCCUAAUACAUGCAAGUUGAGCGAUGAAGAUUGGUGCUUGCACCAAUUUGAAGAGCAGCGAACGGGUGAGUAACGCGUGGGGAAUCUGCCUUUGAGCGGGGGACAACAUUUGGAAACGAAUGCUAAUACCGCAUAACAACUUUAAACAUAAGUUUUAAGUUUGAAAGAUGCAAUUGCAUCACUCAAAGAUGAUCCCGCGUUGUAUUAGCUAGUUGGUGAGGUAAAGGCUCACCAAGGCGAUGAUACAUAGCCGACCUGAGAGGGGGAGCGGCCAAGCUGGGACUGGGACACGGCCCCAACUCCUACGGGAGGCAGCAGUAGGGAAUCUUCGGCAAUGGAUGGAAGUCUGACCGAGCAACGCCGCGUGAGUGAAGAAGGUUGUCGGAUCGUAAAACUCUGUUGGUAGAGAAGAACGUUGGAGAGAGUGGAAAGCUCAUCAAGUGACGGUAACUACCCAGAAAGGGACGGCUAACUACGUG
This 497-nucleotide ribosomal RNA is filed under the name uncultured bacterium. Its description in RNAcentral is "partial 16S ribosomal RNA". It matches the Rfam family "Bacterial small subunit ribosomal RNA", at positions 28 to 507 of the family's 1533-position model. The record is from RNAcentral.